Molecule: long non-coding RNA, 287 nt
Organism: Pogoniulus pusillus (Red-fronted tinkerbird)
Lineage: Eukaryota; Metazoa; Chordata; Aves; Piciformes; Lybiidae
Exons: 3
Source: RefSeq, a predicted model, not a curated record
ACGCUGCUGGGAAUUGAGGAGGAAAACUGUGGGAGAACACUGUGGGCUCAGAGGCUGAGGAGGAAGAGGAAGAGGAAGGGUUCCAGGUGCUGGAGCAGGGACUCCUGGCAGCCUCUGGAGGACCCCACACAAGAUCAGAAGAGAAGGCAAAGGAGCCGGGAGAGGAGACAGGUGGACCCUGGGGAUAAGAGAGGUGAAAGGUUCUUGGCUGUGCUGCAAAUCUCCUGCUCACCAUCCUUGAAGCCCUCAAAGCGUUAUCAGUUUCCCAUCAGAAUCCAUCUAUGUCU